Molecule: long non-coding RNA, 1881 nt
Organism: Aquila chrysaetos chrysaetos
Lineage: Eukaryota; Metazoa; Chordata; Aves; Accipitriformes; Accipitridae
Exons: 3
Source: RefSeq, a predicted model, not a curated record
CUGCUAGUGCAAGAGGUUCUGAGACCUCAGGGACUGCUUUCAUGUACUGACACCAUUCAGCCUGCUGAAGAAGCUCCACUGGACUCCCCUCGACAAGUCAUUCGCAAGGUAUCAGUGUUUCCCUCCGUUGGAGAAUUCCUAGCUGUCCUGAAGGCCCAAAGCAACAGUGAUGGGCCCACAUCAAUAGACACAGGCAGAUGAGAGGCCAUGAGUGACCAGGAGACCUGGACCUGACUUGGUGCUUGCCAUGACUGCAGAAAGCCGAAUCAUCAGCUGCCCCGGCUUUCUCUUUUCUCCCUAUAGCAUCCUCUGGUGCUUUCUGCCUUGUCAGGAUGGCUCCGGCGUCUUGCCAGAAAGAAAGGUCUCCCUGCCUGCAGGCCGGCAGCACUGUGUUGUGUUUGGAUUUGUUGUGGCUGAAGAGCCUGACCUGGUGUUGAUUUCAAAGAAUAAUUGGGAAAGCCCUGCUGCAGGUACGCUCCAGUGUGCACCUGAAGAAGAGAGCCCUGGCCAGACCCCUCAGCGGGGAAACAAAAACCUCUGCCAGCAAAACACUCUCACAUUUUUGCAAACGCGAAAGUGGUCAGGCGGUUAAUGUUUCAUCGCACAAGGAAGCGGGAGUUGGGACAGCCACGGCAUCAGGGAUGGGACUAACCGGGAAGCACAAUCUGGGGUACUUGAAAGAUGCACAACACUCUGGCAAAGAGCGCUUGCCCCUGAGUAAUUCCAGUGACCGUGUAUAGAAUUAAGCCAUUUUCUUUAAUUAGCAUUCUUUGGUUACUUUUGCCAAAAGAUACAGAAUUUUAGCAUUAAAUAUUUUUACAAUACUGCUACAGUUUGCAAAUGCCAAGUUUAUGUACUCAUAGCAUAACACUGUCCUGUCAGAGCUGAAAGGACUCUUUUCUUUAUUCAUUUUUCCCCCCCUCCUUCCUAUUUUCUUGGAAAGAGAAAACAGCAUUCUCGUCUGCUUUUUUUUUUCCUGAUGCCUGCCACAUCCAACAAAGGUACCUGCAGGUUUCACAGGCUCAAGGCACAUUCACCAAAGAUCACGUGGGAGCUCUCGACAGCGUUGGGGACGCUUCCUCCUGGGCCGCGGUGAAACAGUCGCCUUAAAUGUCAGGGUCAACACACCCAAAUUCCUGGUGCGCUUUCAAUUAGCCACGCUUCCCUUCUCCCAUCCUGCAGCGUUGUUUUAUGCUAUCAAAACGCUACUCGAACCUCCGGCUCGGGGACUGCUGGACCUUGGGCUGUGAGGAUAUCGAGCAGAACCGGUCUUGAAGCGCGUCAAUGCAUCUCCCUCCUCAGCGCCAUGUCCUGGGUCCCGGGCAGCGGGCACUACCGAGGGGGCAACGCCGCAGCCCUGUGGGGAGCAGCGAUGCCGUGGGUCCUCUUCCUCCAGGCUGGGACCUGCCCUUCGGCCUCGGUUUUCACCUCUCGCAGCCCCAGGAGAUGUUCCUUCGUGGCGGCUGUGGAGAGGCCGGGGGAAGACACGACUCUGUCGUGGGGGGGGCAGAGACCUCUGAGGGAGGAGGCCGCGUCUCCUCCGUGAGGGAGCUGGACAGGCCGCGGGACUCCGGCCAUCGAGGGGGAGGAACGCGAUGGCGGCGGGGCUCGGGGCUGCAUUGCCAGCACCGUCUGCGGGGCUCCCUGCGGACAGAGCAGUAUAGUCCCCACGCUGCAUUUCCCAAGGGAGUCGUGCCAGAGCUCACAGGGAUGGCCAGAACAGCCAGGCUGUCCCUUCACACCAUCUUAAGGUGGAAAGUGAGGGCAGGUUCCCAAUGUGUGUCAUUAACUUGGAAGCUCUGUGUAGAAGAGGGAAUCGUAUGCCUUCCUGCACAGCGACCUGCAGGUAACUACUUGACGCCAACCUGAUUCUAGUCCAGC